CGGAUUAGCUUGUUGGUGAGGUAACGGCUCACCAAGGCGACGAUCCGUAACUGGUCUGAGAGGAUGAUCAGUCACACCGGAACUGAGACACGGUCCGGACUCCUACGGGAGGCAGCAGUGGGGAAUAUUGGACAAUGGGCGAAAGCCUGAUCCAGCAAUACCGCGUGUGUGAAGAAGGCCUUCGGGUUGUAAAGCACUUUAAGUUGGGAAGAAAAAACUUCAAUUAAUACUUGAAGUCUUGACGGUACCGACAGGAUAAGCACCGGCUAACUCUGUGCCAGCAGCCGCGGUAAUACAGAGGGUGCUAGCGUUAAUCGGAUUUACUGGGCGUAAAGCGUGCGUAGGCGGUUUGAUAAGUCGAUUGUGAAAGCCCUGGGCUCAACCUAGGAAUUGCGGUCGAUACUGUCAGACUAGAAAACGGUAGAGGGAGGUGGAACUCCAGGUGUAGCGGUGAAAUGCGUAGAUAUCUGGAAGAACACCGAUGGCGAAGGCAGCCUCCUGGGCCUGUUUUGACGCUGAGGCACGAAAGCGUGGGUAGCA
Molecule: ribosomal RNA, 540 nt
Filed under: uncultured Lysobacterales bacterium
Lineage: Bacteria; Pseudomonadati; Pseudomonadota; Gammaproteobacteria; Lysobacterales
Description: bacterial SSU rRNA
Rfam family: Bacterial small subunit ribosomal RNA
Source: RNAcentral